RNAcentral lists this ribosomal RNA (468 nucleotides) under uncultured bacterium. RNAcentral's name for it is "partial 16S ribosomal RNA". It matches the Rfam family "Bacterial small subunit ribosomal RNA", at positions 28 to 507 of the family's 1533-position model. The record is from RNAcentral.
GACGAACGCUGGCGGCGUGCUUAACACAUGCAAGUCGAACGGAAAGGCCCUGCUUUUGUGGGGUGCUCGAGUGGCGAACGGGUGCGUAACACGUGAGUAACCUGCCCUUGACUUUGGGAUAACUUCACGAAAGUGGGGCUAAUACAGUAUAGGAGAUCCCGUAGCAUGGUGAGGGUUGGAACGUCUCGGCGGUUGGGGCUGGAUGCGCGGCUUAUCAGCUUGUUGGUGGGGUAGUGGCUUACCCAGGCAUUGGCGGGUCGCCGGCCUGAGAGGGUGACCGGGCACCUGGCGCCUGCGAUACGGAGCAGUCGCCAACGGUAGGCAGCGGUCGGGAGUAUUGCCCAGUGGGCCGGAGCCUGAUGCGGAGGCGUCGCGGGCGUGAUGACGGUCUUUGGGUUGUGAACCGCUUUCGGUUGUGACGAAGCGGGUGUGACGGUAAUGGGUAAAGAAGCACCGGCUAACUUCGUG